GGUUUUCUGCUCUCCCUCCCGAAACCCCCCCGAGCCGCUCCCGUCUCACCCAUCGCGCAAACAACUCUAGGGUUCCUUGAGCCGCCGCCGCACCGGAGCUCCUCGACCAGCCCCACCUCAUGCCGCUCCACCCACUGCUUCUCCCUCCGCCCGCGCCGCUCUCUUCCCCGCCGGCGCUGCCCACCACGAGCGGGGAGGCCCCAGAUCGUCUCAAGCAAGUCAGCGGGGCGGUGGCCAGAUCCACCACAGCAACAUCUCGUCCAGAUGGGCCGCGCCGGGAGAGGUAGAUCGAGGCGGCGGGCACCGUGUGCGUCUUGUCUCUUGGGACGCCGCUCCGACCCGAUCCGGCGAGGAGGCAGCCUCCGUCUGCGACAAUGAGGGCGGCGGCCGGCUGCGCGAGAGGUCGAUCUGAUUGUGCCUCCAUGACGGCAUCGUGAUGCCCACCGCCGACGGCGCUGCGUUGCGACCAAAGGGGCACCCGGCCACGGCCGGGGACUCACUGCAGUUGAAGCACGCCACCUCGCCACCAUGUAUGUUGUGUGUUCUUGUGCUGCAGGUCCUUGGGGUUGGGUGUUCUUGUCGCCACCAUGUUCAUGCAGGCACGAAUUGGACUGAGAAAUGCUAACAGAGGAGGAGAAGACCAUGCAAGUCCUUGGGGUUGGGUGCGGCAACUCGCUGCUCGAAGACAAUCUUUUGUGGUGGGGCGUCGCUGCCGCCGGCGGCACCUGCAUAGACCGUCUCGCUGGGAACGAACAGAUGCUCCCCUGAUUUGGAGCUGUAGAAAGGAGGUGGUUGCAGACACAAAGUGGGGACACACAACUCCCAGUCAUAAUAUUCUUUAUCUUGGCUCGUUGUUUGGGGAUGGACGCAUCAAUCUGAUCGCGCUCUCCUCCAUGCCAAACGGAUCCUUGGUUCAGAGGUGCGCGGCGCCGACGAUGACAACCUUUCUAUCGACGCAAGGGCAGCAGGAGCUCAUGACGCUGUUGAUGCCACCACCAUGCACAGGGUUGAUGCAAGGUGGGACAAUGCGAUCACUAAUGGGGAGAACAUAAACUUCAAUUGAGGGCACUGUGAUUCUCUAGCUACAUGUAUCAUAGCUUCUGCAGGAGGGUGUCACCUGCGGCAUCACUUGCAUCGACCUCUCACCGAUCACCGUCCCGAGGAUGCACGACAGACUGGCGGAGCAGGGCACCAGUGAUUGUUUCACCAAUUUGCUCGACUCAUGGUUCCCUUCCUCUGUCCACGCAACGUUGCCCAUUGUUGCUAACUUGUUAAUUCAUCAGGCCCAUUAUUGCGGCUACAUAGUCUGUUAAUCUUGCCUGCCUUCUUAGGAGAAACCAAUUUACUAAGGGUUGGCAAUUCCGAAGUUAUUGCCUUUCUACUUCAAACUGAAAUAAUUCCUCUUUGUCUUUAAUAUGGAGAUGGGCACUGAACUUUAAAAAACAGUAUGAACUCAACCCCUUCUGUAAAUCAAAUAUUUCAUUUGCGGGGACGACAUGGGGCUCAUGUCGAGCACUUCACCUGCAAUGGGUGUGGCCUUCUCCGUCUGCCAAACAUGCUACAAGUACGAGCACCAUGAGGGAACUGCCUGGAGUGCGAGACCCGCCACAAGCUCCUCAAGGGUCAGUCAGCCUCCACCCACGGCCGAAGGCACUUGCAGAUGUGAAGAAUAUCCAUGUCCGAUUACAUCGCUAGAAAGCAAAAACUAUGAGAGCCCACACUAAUCAUCAAGGGAUUUUUGAAACGAGCAGAAGAUUAGUAACUUCUACGACAUCAAAGAUCUGACCUUUUAGAGUAUGCACCAUAUUGAUUUACUUAUUGAUUUAUUCACACCAUAUCAGAUUUGUCUUGAACGUGAUACUUUAUUGACUGUACUGGGCACGGGAAGUUAACUGUUUUAAUUAUAUAGGAUUAGUCUGCACCAAUUGCUGCAUAAGUUCUCCUUGAUACCAAUUUACAUACUUGUGCUACUAGGCCUUUGGUCAGUUUGCAACUGGUAUUUUAGACAUGUACGAGUAUUCUCAUGGUAUUUCUAUAUGUUUUAAUUAGUACCAGAUGGAAUUUGCGAAUUAGUAUUACAAAGAGAAGAGAAAAGGAAACAUUAUUCACGAGUUUGCAGGAAUAUGGAAACUCAAGGUAGUCUGUUAGCAUAAGUAAAAAAUGUUUUUCAUUUUAUUUCUUGGUUCGACCAAAUUAUAUUUUAUCCGAACGUAUGGAUGAUCGACACAAUGGACGUACGUAGUUUCUGGUUAGCACUAAUUGGAUAACAAUUAUGCCUACUAUUACCAUUUUUGUGCAUUGUUUGGUCGCAUUUUAGUUAAAUACAUCCUUUGUGACGAAUAAUGAUUUUUGAGCAUACUAUCUUCUUUUCAUGUGGGGAGAUCGCUGAUAGAAAAGAAAAUUGUGUUUCUGAUAUGUUAUGCUAAUUUCUAAGUCCUUCCAAUUUCGAACUACUAGGUAUGCAGCCUUAGAUGAACAACUACCUCUUUAUUUGCUUGAGGAUGAUUUGAUUGUGCAAUUAAGGCUACAUAAUUUCACUUUUCAUUUAUAUUUAUUGGUGAGGGCGAGCUGGCGGCGGCAUGGCGCGCUGGUGCGCAUGACCGCGGGUUCGGCCAGGGUGCGAGCUGAUCUGGCAUGUGCGCUGGCGAAGUAAGGCGUAGAGGUGCUCCGGCCGGAUGGGUGCGUUGGUCCGUGGCGGAGGUGCGAGGUGGGCGUGGAUCUGGCGCCUAGCAUGCACGAGGGAGGACAUAUGGGCGUUGUGCGUUUCUUCGCGGCGGGAGGUGUGACUGUGCUACUCUGCAGAUUGAUGACGUUGUUCUCCUGGUUUCGUGGAUCUGCAGCGGGGUAGCCGGUGGUUGCGGCGCCAGAGAAUGCUGGGGCAGCGGCCUCGGGCUGAUGGCUGCUAUGGCAGGGGCUGCUGCACCGGCUCAGGAUGGUGGAUUUGGAGCAAUGCACUCAGAUCUGACCCUGGCAACCGCGUUGUUUCUAUGUUGCAUGAGUUGCUGCAGCUGGUCGUCGCGUGAGGGCUAUGCCGGCUGACGGCAGGGGGGUGCCCUACACAAUGUGCUUGGCUCUGAUGGUCUGGGUAUCGUUGCGUGACCAGAUUUGCAAGCAAGCUCACUGAUAGGAGAUCAGGGACUCGGGCGAAAGCUCCGUGACCUUCUUAGAGGCAUAGUCGUAGACAUCUUCCUAUCCUUUCAUGUGCUUGGGUUCUCCGGGUGAGAACCUAAACUCCAGUUUUCUGGAGUGGGUGGCGGCGGCGUUUACGUCGUAACCAUCUUCAGAGGUGUAGCCUUGGAGGGCCAGCCUUUGGAUGUCAUGUGGGGCUCUUUCGUUUUCAAGGGCGGUGUAUGUCGGGGCUGCGGCUCCAGGAUCUUCUAUUAAGUGUCGAGGCUGCGGCCUCGGGCAGUACUGCGACGACAGCUCCAAGAGGUAGGGCUGCUUGUCGGCAUGGCUUGGGUGAGGACCUUGAAGUGCGGAAGCAGCAAGGUUGUCAGCUCCGUCAAUGCGCCCCAGUCGGGACUGUUGGACGACAUGUUGGGGCAGCGGCCCAGGAUGUGGUGCAGCGUUUGUGGUCUAUGUGCGGUUGGCCUGAGCAGCGUGAGCUGCGGGUAGCUGUAUCGUCCGGCGUAGUGCCGGCCAGGUUGUCGCUCAUCCAGGUUGCCGACCGGGAAGAGGUGUAGUGCCGGCCAAGACGAGAACAAGGGGAAGCUGCUUGGUUGUCUGUGUUCAUCAAAGGUGCUCUCUCUUUUCCAUCUUUCUUUUUAUUUACUUAAUCCUAGAUGGGUGACUACUAAUUUCCAUGUCUACUGGGAGGAAGAAGGUUGGCGGACGUAUCUUUGUGACUAUGUCAUUCACGUGCUUUGUUUCAACUCAUAAAGUGGAUCCUUUUUAAGCUAUAUCAAAUCAUAAGACAUAAUUUUCAGUUGAUUUUUUUCUUCUAAUUCCCAGUUUAUUGCUUCACAUAGACUAUUACAUAUUUAUGCUAGCCAAUUCGAAGCUUUGUCCCAAGGGCAAGCAUACAGUUGAAAAAAUAAAUACAUGUACGACAGAUCAGCCAGCAACUUGUUGAUCUGUGAUUCUUUGAAAUUUGAUGCUUAUAACUGUUUAUAAGUCAGUAUUGUUCAGAGCCAAAGAUAAGUAACAAUCUAUUUGGUUAAGUUGAACACUUCCAGAUAAGGAGUAGUAGAAAUUCUUAAGGGCAUUGGGAUAUUGAACUGCAGAUAGCUUCGGCAGGUUUGUUAGGCUAAUAUAAAGUAGGGACCUUUGCUACAUAAUGAUACAAAGAUGAUACCGAAGGUUGUUUUGCAACUACCAAGUUUCAAGGUCACAUGGAUGCUGACAGCUCUCAGGUGUAUGGCCUAUUUGUUGCUGGGUAUUGUUGCCUUUCUUCCUGGUUUAUACAGCGGAGGAUCCUGAGUUGAUGCAUAUAUUGGCUCAAAAAGUAACUAGGCUCUGAAGUGCAGAUUGACAAGAGAAUUGUUUCUUUCAUGCAGAGUUUCUGCUGCUAUUUGUUAAAUCUUAAAGAAACGUCUGUUCCUGAGGUUUACAAGUCCCCUUGUUCAAAUAUGAAAAUGAUUUAUUUGCAAACUUCAAUGCAAAAUGCCAUCCAGGGGGCCAGGGCGAUUAGAUGCCCAUCACUCACGGCGGCAAGAAGUUCCGUGUCGAGUUGAUGAACCAGCACCAGCUGGGAGCCCGGAUGAAGAAGGUUGUCCCCGCGGAGAAAAAGGAGAAGUGAUGAGAUGUUUUUGACAGCUAAUGGAUGAUGUUAUCUUAGUCUGUGAAUUUUUGUUUUGGUCGAUUUAGAAACCUUGUUUGAUGUCUGAAGAUCCCUUUUUGCCCACUGUUCAAACCAUCUCUUCAUUGUUGUGUAAAUGGUAACAAUACACUUCAAACAAUUAAGUUGUAAUCCCAAAAAAUAUUUUGCAAAAGGAUGUACUUAUCGCCUCAAUAA
Non-coding RNA from Aegilops tauschii subsp. strangulata, 4954 nucleotides. The record is from RefSeq and is a predicted model, not a curated record. NCBI's taxonomy places the organism in Eukaryota, Viridiplantae, Streptophyta, Magnoliopsida, Poales, Poaceae.